RNAcentral lists this ribosomal RNA (536 nucleotides) under uncultured bacterium. RNAcentral describes it as "partial 16S ribosomal RNA". It matches the Rfam family "Bacterial small subunit ribosomal RNA", at positions 356 to 909 of the family's 1533-position model. The record is from RNAcentral.
UGGGAAUAUUGCACAAUGGGCGAAAGCCUGAUGCAGCAACGCCGCGUGAGUGAUGAAGGCCUUCGGGUUGUAAAGCUCUGUCUUUUGGGACGAUAAUGACGGUACCAAAGGAGGAAGCCACGGCUAACUACGUGCCAGCAGCAGCGGUAAUACGUAGGUGGCAAGCGUUGUCCGGAUUUACGGGCGUAAAGGAUGCGUAGGCGGAUUUUUAAGUGAGAUGUGAAAUACCCGGGCUUAACUUGGGUGCUGCAUUUCAAACUGGGAAUCUAGAGUGCGGGAGAGGAGAAUGGAAUUCCUAGUGUAGCGGUGAAAUGCGUAGAGAUUAGGAAGAACACCAGUGGCGAAGGCGAUUCUCUGGACCGUAACUGACGCUGAGGCAUGAAAGCGUGGGUAGCAAACAGGAUUAGAUACCCUGGUAGUCCACGCCGUAAACGAUGAGUACUAGGUGUAGGAGGUAUCGACCCCUUCUGUGCCGCAGUUAACACAAUAAGUACUCCGCCUGGGAAGUACGAUCGCAAGAUUAAAACUCAAAUGAA